GACGAACGCUUGCGGCGUGCUUAACACAUGCAAGUCGAACGGAAAGGCCCUGCUUUUGUGGGGUGCUCGAGUGGCGAACGGGUGAGUAACACGUGAGUAACCUGCCCUUGACUUUGGGAUAACUUCAGGAAACUGGGGCUAAUACCGGAUAGGAGCUCCUGCUGCAUGGUGGGGGUUGGAAAGUUUCGGCGGUUGGGGAUGGACUCGCGGCUUAUCAGCUUGUUGGUGGGGUAGUGGCUUACCAAGGCUUUGACGGGUAGCCGGCCUGAGAGGGUGACCGGCCACAUUGGGACUGAGAUACGGCCCAGACUCCUACGGGAGGCAGCAGUGGGGAAUAUUGCACAAUGGGCGGAAGCCUGAUGCAGCAACGCCGCGUGCGGGAUGACGGCCUUCGGGUUGUAAACCGCUUUCGCCUGUGACGAAGCGUGAGUGACGGUAAUGGGUAAAGAAGCACCGGCUAACUACGUGCCAGCAGCCGCGGUGAUACGUAGGGUGCGAGCGUUGUCCGGAUUUAUUGGGCGUAAAGGGCUCGUAGGUGGUUGAUCGCGUCGGAAGUGUAAUCUUGGGGCUUAACCCUGAGCGUGCUUUCGAUACGGGUUGACUUGAGGAAGGUAGGGGAGAAUGGAAUUCCUGGUGGAGCGGUGGAAUGCGCAGAUAUCAGGAGGAACACCAGUGGCGAAGGCGGUUCUCUGGGCCUUUCCUGACGCUGAGGAGCGAAAGCGUGGGGAGCGAACAGGCUUAGAUACCCUGGUAGUCCACGCUGUAAACGGUGGGUACUAGGUGUGGGGUCCAUUCCACGGGUUCCGUGCCGUAGCUAACGCUUUAAGUACCCCGCCUGGGGAGUACGGCCGCAAGGCUAAAACUCAAAGGAAUUGACGGGGCCCCGCACAAGCGGCGGAGCAUGCGGAUUAAUUCGAUGCAACGCGUAGAACCUUACCUGGGUUUGACAUGGGUCGGGAGUGCUCAGAGAUGGGUGUGCCUCUUUUGGGGUCGGUUCACAGGUGGUGCAUGCCUGUCGUCAGCUCGUGUCGUGAGAUGUUGGGUUAAGUCCCGCAACGAGCGCAACCCUUGUUCACUGUUGCCAGCACGUUAUGGUGGGGACUCAGUGGAGACCGCCGGGGUCAACUCGGAGGAAGGUGGGGAUGACGUCAAGUCCUCAUGCCCCUUAUGUCCAGGGCUUCACGCAUGCUACAAUGGCUGGUACAGAGAGUGGCGAGCCUGUGAGGGUGAGCGAAUCUCGGAAAGCCGGUCUCAGUUCGGAUUGGGGUCUGCAACUCGACCUCAUGAAGUCGGAGUCGCUAGUAAUCGCAGAUCAGCAACGCUGCGGUGAAUACGUUCCCGGG
RNAcentral lists this ribosomal RNA (1343 nucleotides) under uncultured bacterium. RNAcentral's name for it is "16S ribosomal RNA". It matches the Rfam family "Bacterial small subunit ribosomal RNA", at positions 28 to 1378 of the family's 1533-position model. The record is from RNAcentral.